Molecule: ribosomal RNA, 373 nt
Filed under: uncultured organism
Description: partial 16S ribosomal RNA
Rfam family: Bacterial small subunit ribosomal RNA
Source: RNAcentral
GUAGGUGGCAAGCGUUGUCCGGAAUUAUUGGGCGUAAAGCGCGCGCAGGCGGUCCUUUAAGUCUGAUGUGAAAGCCCACGGCUCAACCGUGGAGGGUCAUUGGAAACUGGGGGACUUGAGUACAGAAGAGGAAAGCGGAAUUCCAAGUGUAGCGGUGAAAUGCGUAGAGAUUUGGAGGAACACCAGUGGCGAAGGCGGCUUUCUGGUCUGUAACUGACGCUGAGGCGCGAAAGCGUGGGGAGCAAACAGGGAUUAGAUACCCUGGUAGUCCACGCCGUAAACGAUGAGUGCUAGGUGUUAGGGGGUUUCCCGCCCCCUUAGUGCUGCAGCUAACGCAUUAAGCACUCCGCCUGGGGAGUACGCCGCAAGGCUG